UUCUUCCAAUGGCUUAAUGAAUUUCUCAUCUUUCUGUGAGCAUGGAAAUAGCUGAAAAGCAAAUGUGCCAUGUGUUUCUGCAGUUGUGGAUUUCCACACCAGUGUGCCUCAUGACUACUGAAGAAACCUGAUGAGACAGCAGGGCCAUGGUUGGUAGGAAGAGAACUACUGGCACUAGCGUCGGGUUAUCUGGGAUGGAUUUAGCAGAUGAAGGAAUUCAGGCAUCGAACUGCAACAAACUUUCCAUACCAGAGAGGACUCUGAAGACAGAGCAUCUAUCAAUGCCUGAUAGCUGAUCUGCAGACUGGAGAGCCAGCAGGCUAGCGAUUGUUGAAGGAAGACACGGAAAUUGAAAUGACUCCCUGAUUUCAGUGGAUAAGGUUCAUUUCUGCAACAACUUUGUAAGCUCCUUGAGAGCAGAAACCUUGUCCGUGUCUUUGGACACAGUCCUAACAGCGAACAGAUGAGGAGGAGGCAUUUAUUUGGAGGACACUGUGCAAGGAAACGCAUGGCCCGUUCCUGGAAGCGUGCCGUGUGAGCCCGCCUGUGAGGAACAGAGGGAAAGCGGGAGGCAAGACGUUCGCAGUAGCACAGUGAAGAUGUUAAAAAUUAAAUCUGAAAUACAAUAAGUAAACAAAUCAAUGUAAAACUCUGUAAUUAAAAGAACAAGAACAGCAUCAGCAAGAAUCCAGAUGGAAAGUGUUUUCUGAAAUUAACAUCAGUCUCUCACACCCUAAGAGUCAUUGGUUCUAACUUUACUUAGAAACAGACAGAGAGUGAGAAGGAUAGAGAGAGAGUCCACAAGUAGAGGGGAGCAGCAGACAGAGGAAGAAACAGACUCCCCACCGAGCAAGGGGCAUGAUUCAGGACUCGAUCCCAGGGAUCAUGACCCAGGUGGAAGAAAGACACUUAAACAGCUGAAUCAUCCAGAUCUUUGCAGGAAGUUGGAAGGAUGGCUGAUAAGAAGCCCCAGACUCUCUCUUCCACAGAGACACCAGUUCAGCAACAACACCACCAUUCCCUUUGUGAGAAGUCCAGAAAUCCAGACAUGAAACUACUAAGAAACGACAAUAGUUGUUUGGUAUCGAUAAAUUGAAGCUCCGCGGUGCUUGUUUGCAGAGACGCUUGUGGAUUCCACUGACACCGUCUACCCACUUCCUGCCAUUGGACACCUGAGCUCUGGAAGAAUGGCAUGAGCCCAUGUACCUCUGUCUUCUGCCAACAGGAUUCCACUCUCUUCUAAUGUGACCCGUUCUUUGGCCAACGAGGUCGUAGGCCUGACAAUGGGAGAUAAGGCAGUUCUGGGGGAGAUGAGUUUUUUAAUUCAUUUUGAAUGUAGGAAUUUGAGUCAAAGCCUAUCUCUGAUGAAAGGAAAUGUGUAGUUUUUGAGUUAGAAAUUUGUAGUUCUGGGAUAGUUCUUCAAUCUGCUUUAGUAGAAGCCUGUUUGAUAUUUUCACUCUUUUAGAUACCCAGAAA
Molecule: long non-coding RNA, 1476 nt
Organism: Mustela lutreola (European mink)
Lineage: Eukaryota; Metazoa; Chordata; Mammalia; Carnivora; Mustelidae
Exons: 8
Source: RefSeq, a predicted model, not a curated record